RNAcentral lists this ribosomal RNA (348 nucleotides) under uncultured bacterium. RNAcentral's name for it is "bacterial SSU rRNA". It matches the Rfam family "Bacterial small subunit ribosomal RNA", at positions 9 to 232 of the family's 1533-position model. The record is from RNAcentral.
GAGUUUGAUCAUGGCUCAGGACGAACGCUGGCGGCGCGCCUAACACAUGCAAGUCGAACGGAAAGAUUUUUCUACUCCGAGUUCUUUGCGGGUCUUUAAGGAGAGCGUCGAUCAAUGCGAAGCAUCGAAGAUGCGAGCAUUGAUCCAGGCUUUAUUUAGAAGACUAACACAAAGGUGGAGCAGAGAGCUGGGAGUAGGGAAAUCUUUUAGUGGCGAACGGGUGAGUAACGCGUGAGGAACCUGCCUCAAAGAGGGGACAACAGUUGGAAACGACUGCUAAUACCGCAUAAGCCCACGGGGCCGCAUGGCCCUGGAGGGAAAAGGAGCAAUCCGCUUUGAGAUGGCCUC